RNAcentral lists this ribosomal RNA (473 nucleotides) under uncultured bacterium. RNAcentral's name for it is "bacterial SSU rRNA". It matches the Rfam family "Bacterial small subunit ribosomal RNA", at positions 28 to 524 of the family's 1533-position model. The record is from RNAcentral.
GAUGAACGCUAGCGGCAGGCCUAAUACAUGCAAGUCGAACGCUCAGUAGCAAUACUGGGAGUGGCGCACGGGUGCGUAACGCGUACACAAUCUACCUCUAAGCGGGGACACCUCCUGGAAACGGGGAUUAAUACCGCAUAAUAUGCCGAAGUCGCAUGACUUUGGUAUUAAAGCAGCAAUGCACUUAGAGAUGAGUGUGCGUCCCAAUUAGGUAGUUGGUGAGGUAACGGCUCACCAAGGCAUCGACGGGUAGCUGGUCUGAGAGGACGAUCAGCCACACUGGGACUGAGACACGGCCCAGACUCCUACGGGAGGCAGCAGUGGGGAAUCUUGCGCAAUGGGCGAAAGCCUGACGCAGCAACGCCGCGUGGGGAUGAAGGCUCUCGGGUUGUAAACCCCUUUCAGCAGGGACGAAUCAAGACGGUACCUGCAGAAGAAGCCCCGGCUAACUACGUGCCAGCAGCCGCGGUAAU